RNAcentral lists this ribosomal RNA (466 nucleotides) under uncultured bacterium. RNAcentral's name for it is "partial 16S ribosomal RNA". It matches the Rfam family "Bacterial small subunit ribosomal RNA", at positions 28 to 507 of the family's 1533-position model. The record is from RNAcentral.
GAUGAACGCUGGCGGCGUGCUUAACACAUGCAAGUCUAACGAUGAAGCCCAGCUUGCGGGGUGGGCUCGUGGCGAAAGGGUGUGUAUCACACGAGUAUCCUGUCCCUAUCACUUGGAUAAGCCUGGGGGAAUCGGUGUAAUAUCGCGUAGGAGAGCCCAUCGUACGGUGGGUGUUGGAGAGAUUUAGCGGUUUUGGAUGGACUCGCGGCUUAUCAGCUUGUUGGUGGGGUAUUGGCUCACCAAGGCGAUGACGGGUAGCCGGCCUGAGAGGGUGACCGGCCACACUGGGACUGAGACACGGCCCAGACUCCUACGGGAGGCAGCAGUGGGGAAUAUUGCACAAUGGGCGGAAGCCUGAUGCAGCGACGCCGCGUGCGGGAUGACGGCCUUCGGGUUGUAAACCUCUUUCGGUAGUGAAGAAGCGAGAGUGACGGUACUGGGUGAAGAAGCACCGGCUAACUACGUG